Molecule: ribosomal RNA, 1541 nt
Filed under: Escherichia coli
Lineage: Bacteria; Pseudomonadati; Pseudomonadota; Gammaproteobacteria; Enterobacterales; Enterobacteriaceae
Description: bacterial SSU rRNA
Rfam family: Bacterial small subunit ribosomal RNA
Source: RNAcentral
AAAUUGAAGAGUUUGAUCAUGGCUCAGAUUGAACGCUGGCGGCAGGCCUAACACAUGCAAGUCGAACGGUAACAGGAAACAGCUUGCUGUUUCGCUGACGAGUGGCGGACGGGUGAGUAAUGUCUGGGAAACUGCCUGAUGGAGGGGGAUAACUACUGGAAACGGUAGCUAAUACCGCAUAACGUCGCAAGACCAAAGAGGGGGACCUUAGGGCCUCUUGCCAUCGGAUGUGCCCAGAUGGGAUUAGCUAGUAGGUGGGGUAAAGGCUCACCUAGGCGACGAUCCCUAGCUGGUCUGAGAGGAUGACCAGCCACACUGGAACUGAGACACGGUCCAGACUCCUACGGGAGGCAGCAGUGGGGAAUAUUGCACAAUGGGCGCAAGCCUGAUGCAGCCAUGCCGCGUGUAUGAAGAAGGCCUUCGGGUUGUAAAGUACUUUCAGCGGGGAGGAAGGGAGUAAAGUUAAUACCUUUGCUCAUUGACGUUACCCGCAGAAGAAGCACCGGCUAACUCCGUGCCAGCAGCCGCGGUAAUACGGAGGGUGCAAGCGUUAAUCGGAAUUACUGGGCGUAAAGCGCACGCAGGCGGUUUGUUAAGUCAGAUGUGAAAUCCCCGGGCUCAACCUGGGAACUGCAUCUGAUACUGGCAAGCUUGAGUCUCGUAGAGGGGGGUAGAAUUCCAGGUGUAGCGGUGAAAUGCGUAGAGAUCUGGAGGAAUACCGGUGGCGAAGGCGGCCCCCUGGACGAAGACUGACGCUCAGGUGCGAAAGCGUGGGGAGCAAACAGGAUUAGAUACCCUGGUAGUCCACGCCGUAAACGAUGUCGACUUGGAGGUUGUGCCCUUGAGGCGUGGCUUCCGGAGCUAACGCGUUAAGUCGACCGCCUGGGGAGUACGGCCGCAAGGUUAAAACUCAAAUGAAUUGACGGGGCCCGCACAAGCGGUGGAGCAUGUGGUUUAAUUCGAUGCAACGCGAAGAACCUUACCUGGUCUUGACAUCCACGGAAGUUUUCAGAGAUGAGAAUGUGCCUUCGGGAACCGUGAGACAGGUGCUGCAUGGCUGUCGUCAGCUCGUGUUGUGAAAUGUUGGGUUAAGUCCCGCAACGAGCGCAACCCUUAUCCUUUGUUGCCAGCGGUCCGGCCGGGAACUCAAAGGAGACUGCCAGUGAUAAACUGGAGGAAGGUGGGGAUGACGUCAAGUCAUCAUGGCCCUUACGACCAGGGCUACACACGUGCUACAAUGGCGCAUACAAAGAGAAGCGACCUCGCGAGAGCAAGCGGACCUCAUAAAGUGCGUCGUAGUCCGGAUUGGAGUCUGCAACUCGACUCCAUGAAGUCGGAAUCGCUAGUAAUCGUGGAUCAGAAUGCCACGGUGAAUACGUUCCCGGGCCUUGUACACACCGCCCGUCACACCAUGGGAGUGGGUUGCAAAAGAAGUAGGUAGCUUAACCUUCGGGAGGGCGCUUACCACUUUGUGAUUCAUGACUGGGGUGAAGUCGUAACAAGGUAACCGUAGGGGAACCUGCGGUUGGAUCACCUCCUUA